CCGCCACUAGGGAUUUCCCGAUAAAAUACACAUGUGUGUGUGUGUGUAAGCGUAUAUCCAUGUGGUAGUUCUAUCAGGAGAAUACGCAUACAUAUAUACGAGCCAAUAGAUGAAUCAAAUGUAAAAAUAAUUCUUCGCAAGUUGUAUUUUAAGAGACAACAGUAAUGCUAGAUGAGAAUAACAUUUGCAAAUAAUUAAUUAAUUUAUAUUUAUAAAUAAGGAAUGUUUUUUUGUUACGUUAGUGUCUUAUCUGUGUAUAUUAUAAUUAAAUGUUAUAUUAAUGUUUAAUUGUUUAAUAUACAUGUAUCUGAUAAGAAAAGGAAAAAUAUACAACAGUUUUUUUCUAUAUCUCAAGGAGGAAAAAGAAGCAAAUAUAUUCAGUUUUAUAACUCAUAUGUGUAUUAUAUAAGUUUAAUCAUUGAUGUUUUCAAGAACAUUCUAAUCCUCGAGAUUACUCAUGAAUUUUUUCAAUUCCAUAUAUUAUUGUUCGAUGCACACAUACUAGCAUACUUAUCAAGCAUUGCGGAAAAGAUUUUCGUUAUAAUAUUACUUGAUAAUCAGCAAAAAACGAAUGCGAAUAUAUCUUGUGUACAGCAAGAAGUUUCUCUAACGUAUUAUUUUAACUAAAAUAACAAAUAAGUUUUUAUAUAUAAAAAUCUCUUAACAUUUAUUACAAUUAAAUUACAUCAAUAUAAGUGUUUAAAUUUUUUAAAUUCAGCUUUUAUUUUGUUUUAAUAUAUAUAUAUAUAUAUAAUUUUUUGUAAUUUGAAUCAAGAAAAUUCAAUAUUCUUCAAUGUAUAUACUCUUACGUCAUAUUUUAAACUUUUUAUAUUUUUAAAUAUUAGCGCGAAAUAAUUAUGCUUGGAGAUUGGUUAUAUAUAAAGUAGCAUUGUGCGCAUGCGCGGCGGGAAUCGUUAGAUGCUAACCAAUUCGAAUUAGACGCCAUGUUGAAUUUUAGGACAUUACCAAGUUGACAUCGGAAUCGUCGUCGUCCUCGUAAUUACAGCCUUUCUCGUCAUUCUGAGGUAAGAUGCCCGUCGUGCGAGCAUCAACGAAGAUUUAAAAACGUCAUCGUAAUCGUAAUCGUGCGCGAAUGAAGGAGUCGUGUGUUGUAUCGGUAAAAUAAAAAUAAAAAAAUCGCGAAGUAGAAUCAGUGUUGUUGUUCGUCGUAUAUGAAAGUUUCGGUCGAGUAAAAGAAAUUUAUCAAUAGAAAGAGACUCAUCAAGUUUCUUAUUUUCGGCAGCAUUUUGUUAAAAUUUAAAAGGAGUCGCGAGACGUAUCGUCAUUGCAAUUGCCAUUGGACUCUAAUCCCUAUUCGAAAGAAACAUGUGUCAACAAUAUUUCUUUCCUUUCAAAGAAGAAGAAGAAAAGAGAACAACUCCUCUUCGAUGGAAGUUUCUAACAGGAAAACCAAGAAGUUCUCUGAUCGCGUGACCAAUGUGAUCGUUGUAAAGUAGGUGUGUUUUGGAGCCAUCGGAGAACAUCUCUAAGUAGUGAGUGAACUUUGAAGUCCCUCCGAUCACUCAAUCAUGUCGUGGACAAAAGGUCCCAAUCGGCACGGGUGAUCGGUUGUAAUUAAAUAUUAAUUUGUAGAAGAGCAUUUGAGUGACCACGAGUAAAUUUUCUUUUAGGAGAUUUAAUCGUGAAUGCUUUCUUAAUUUUCUUAUUUAUUUAUUCAUUUAUUAGAUCAGGAUAGGGUCUUCUUGUUUCAUAAACGUUUGGAAUGAUUUAUAUUGUGAAUAUAUCAAUGCAUUUUUUGAAAUAUCUUUGCCUCGCGAUAGUAGGGAAGAAUUCAUGGGAAAUAUAAAUUAAUAAUUUGCAUCGUAAUUCGUAGUGAAUUAAUUAUACAUGAAUAUUAAUUAUACAUGAUAUUCAUGAGUUCUAAUAAAUAAUGAGCAAGAAGAUAUUCGCGAUGGACUGUCUUUGGAUUACAAGCGAUAUUAUGCAUGAUCUUUUUGUAACAAUCAGAGUAAUCGCUUGUAAGAAGGAGCGUUCAAGGAUUUUCCAUUAUAUUUUUAAAUUAGAAUUAAUUAAAUAUUUGCUCAAUUUGAAUUGAUAAAAGAAAAGUCUCGAGUAGAGUCAUUGCUUUGAAAAAAAAAAAAAAAAAAAGAAAUAAUCGAGUAGAGUAGUCAUUGCUAAAAGACAAAGAGACUUGUAGAAUCAUAGCCCGUAUGCUUAAUCAAUAAUAAGUUAAUCAUUUGUAGCUUAGAAUUUUCAGCAAUUAAUAUAUACUAAUCCCCGUUUCUCCUUCUCCCCAUUCUUUCCGCGUUCUCAUUUAUACGUGUGCCCAGGUGUUACUCGUAUGGGUGAGAAACGGUUAGUAUGGGUUUAGUUUUAAGUUUCCCCAUUUGGCGGUUGUCAUUGUUUAGUGGUUGUGCCCGAUUUACGAUUCAUGCGUGUGCGCGUUUAGGUGGUGAAUCGUACGUCGGUCCGCGAUAAAUUCUUUCUCUUGAAAUAUUUAAUACACUUUAUUUACAAAUGAAUUUUGAAUAUAAAUAAAUAUAUAUAUAUAUAUAUUUAUACAAAUUUUUUCGCGUUGCAAAGUAGAGCGAUCAAAUUCGAUGUGAUAACGAUGAAAUACUCGUAUGCUAUUGGUACAAUUAUAUACUAAUACAUAUUAGUAUUUUUUUCUUUCUUUGUUUUAGUCAUAUCACGCAAUAAUCAUUAAACGUGACAGUCGAUUACAGCAAAAUGGUACGUACGCCUAUAUAGUAUGUAAGUGAGAAACGCGAUUGAGCUAGGGUGUCGGAGGUGCCCCGGGGCAUGCUCUCUAGUGUAGGUUUUUGCACUCUGGUGGUAUGUGAGAGAAUCGUGGAGUGUGUGUGUUGGAACGAACGAUUUGCUAUUUUUUUAUAUAUAGGUUAUAGGCAGGCAGGUAGCAUACUUUUCUGAGCGAAUGUGUAAAUUUUAAUUUUAAGCAGGUAUGGCCCAGACAAGGCGCAAGAUAUGCUCAAGAGUGAGAAAUCUCGUCUCUGGAUUUAUACAGAAUCGUCACGAAAUUUUAUUUAAGUUUCAGUCAUGCUUACCUCGUUAAUUUAUUUAGUGACGGUUCUGUUACUUCAUUAUGUAUCAUGAUUCAAAGGGAUUUCCAAUCAUUUGUUAUCGAUUAGCUUCUAUGUCGAUCCUAUUUCAAACGAAAUUGAAUCGAACAGUCGGCAAAACCUUUGAUGAAUUUGAUACUUCGUUUUGUAAGAUUAGCACUUCGCACGAUUCGCGAUUUUCUCUUUUGAAUAUUCGAUAUGAUAUAUAUAUAUAUAUAUAUAUAUAUAUAUAUAUUCGAUAUAAUAAUUAUUAAUUAUCGCGAAUACGCGAAUGUACGAUUGAUAUACAAAGUAUUGUAAGAAAAUCUAUUAGAGAUCAAAUCAUUAUAUAAUAUCUACUGCAUACCUUAUUUUCAUCCGACUUUAUUUUUCCAUAUGAAAAGUGCGAAGGGUUAAUGUUAGUUUUUAAUAGGUCAUCGAUUAGUAUUAUUAUCUGCUGGGGCAUUCGAAUUAAUGUUCUCGUCGAUUGAUUCCAAGUUUGUUGAUUGUCUACUCGCUAGGAUAAUUAACAAAAAACAAAUGAAACAAAUUUUUUUAUUAAUUAAAAUGUACGUCAUUAACAUUAAAAACGAUUCUAUUAUCAUAGUUUGUCAUAUUACGACGGUGUGACAUUAGAAUUAAAACUUUGCAUGGUCGAAAAUCGCUGUAAUCAUUUUUUAUGCAAAGCAUUUAGAUCUUUUCUUUUCAGUUGUAUUUGAGUUGCCUGUUUCCUUUUAUAUUUUAGAAUCAGGGACAGUUUUAAUUAAUUGUAAUAAUUCUGUUACCAGAAUAUUUGAACGAUAAACGUUUGUAACCAAAGAUUAUUUUCUUGCUAUCGCGUAAGGAAUGCCCUGCAGCAGUGAUUACGAAGUAAAGAAGAGACUAUUAUGUCGAAGAGGCCCCCACAAACUGUGGCUCAAGAGGGCAACUAUAGGCUAUUGAGUUACUUUCGAAGGUUCCUGCAGCAUGUUCGAACCUUCCGAGAAUGGCUCUUAGUCAUACAUACUUUAUCAUAUUGUCACUCGAAAUGCUCUUAUGGUGGUGGGUGUAGGGGUAGAUUUGAAAAACUAACCAACGUAAUAUCUCGUCGCCAGUCCUGCAUUGCCUCGGGUACGCGAAUAUGAUUAUUUCAUAUUUUAUGUAUUUUCAUUAAUAAUGUCUGGUCAUACAUAUUUUUUUACUUUUUUCUUUUUUUCUUUUUUUCU
Molecule: long non-coding RNA, 4225 nt
Organism: Vespula vulgaris
Lineage: Eukaryota; Metazoa; Arthropoda; Insecta; Hymenoptera; Vespidae
Exons: 4
Source: RefSeq, a predicted model, not a curated record